ACGUGCCUGGAUGCUGCUCCUCUUCUAAUAAACUCUGGACGAUUCAUUCCAAAAGUUAUCUAGUGAAAUAAUAGUGAAAGUAUUUGCUAGGGUUUUCGGCCUCUGAAUUUACUUUUGAGCAGCAGCAGGAGAUAAGUGUGUACAGCUCGGUGUAAACACGUCACCUUCACCAUCCUUAAAGAGUCUGGGUGCAGCGUGAGUCUGGUAUACACCAUACCUCCUGAAUAUGGACUGUUAUUAGAUCUACUGAACGCUGCCCUGGGAACGAGGACAGAAAGAGAAGUUUAUUGCAGGUACAUAAGGAAUUGGGCCGCUCGCUGCAGGAGACUUGUGUCAAUGCCACGCCGAGUCUUUUCUCCUCUCCCACGGCCAUUCGGCUCAUCAGCAUCUGCUGGGCGAUUUCUCGCUGUUGCAGCAGGGGUGUGGACUUCUUUCCCUCUGGAGCCGGGAUGGAUACGGUCCUGAGUGUAGGAAUGAUAUUGUUCUUUGUUCCUAGGCCGAGGAAUGCAGACACGUGGCCCUGAUCCAAAUGCAAAGCGCCAGUAACAGAAUCACGCUGGUGGCACUGGAUCCAGUCCGGAAUUCAGGAGACAAUUUAUCCCAUCAACAUUUGACCAAUCACAUCUUUUCAGGGUCCUGCCUCAGCCACCACCUGAAGGACCCGAGGAGCCUUGGAACAAAGCAGAGAUCCCUUUGCUCUGUUAGCAGUGACAGUGUACUUUGGGGUGUUAAAGCGACCCACUCCAGCAUGGCACUCAUCACUGCUGGGUAGACUGACGAGCAGCUAAACCCCACUCCAUCUGCUGCAGGGCAGAAAAGAAAGUUUUCUAACCAAACUGAAUUCUUUGACAGGAUGAGGCUGCAACUUUUCUACUUCAUCUGCUGACGAUUUCAUCACAGGAACAUAUAAGUGUGUAAAUGUACAGAGCUAGAAAAGAAACACACACUACAGUACAGUAAACACAGUCAAUACAACACAAAGUCCACAUUCAACACUAUGUGGUGAAGGAAGCUUAAUUCUGCCAUUAGCUGUAGAUGGAUGAGAAGAAUGAGCAACCUUCUUGAGGGAAAUUGUGUGGUACUGGUUCUGACGGAGGAUGAGGACGGGUUCACUCUUGAGUCUGGUUCCUCUGGAGGUUCUUCCUCAUAUUAUCUCAGGGAGUGUUUCCUUACCACCACCACCUCUGGCUCGUACUGCACAGUGAAAUUCGCAUAUCCCAUCCUUGUGGCGUGAUCGCUGGGUCAGCCAUGAUGCAGUGCCCCUGGAGCUGAGGGCCUUGCUCAAGGGCCCAACAGUGGCAGCUUGUCAGUGCUGGCGCUUGAAUCCCAAUCGUCCAGCCAACAAUCUAGAACCUUAACCACUUGAGCUACCACUGCCCUGUGAGUGUGUGUAUAAUGAAAACACAGCAGCUGAACGUGUCCUUGUCAUCCUCCUACCUGAGACACGAGUGGGGUGAAGCCCAGGAGCUCAUUUACUGAGGUGGAGUUCGUGAUGUUGCUGCAGAAGAGACACACAGCUGCAGAUCAGUGUAACACAGAUGAAGCUCCAAAUCAGUCUGCUCUCAGCU
This is a long non-coding RNA of Hemibagrus wyckioides, 1568 nucleotides long. RefSeq lists it as uncharacterized. Lineage: Eukaryota; Metazoa; Chordata; Actinopteri; Siluriformes; Bagridae. The transcript has 3 exons. The record is from RefSeq and is a predicted model, not a curated record.